Molecule: ribosomal RNA, 447 nt
Filed under: uncultured organism
Description: partial 16S ribosomal RNA
Rfam family: Bacterial small subunit ribosomal RNA
Source: RNAcentral
CACUCCUGCGGGAGGCAGCAGUGGGGAAUAUUUGACAAUGGGCGCAAGCCUGAUCCAGCCAUGCCGCGUGAGUGAUGAAGGCCCUAGGGUUGUAAAGCUCUUUCACCGGUGAAGAUAAUGACGGUAACCGGAGAAGAAGCCCCCGCUAACUUCGUGCCAGCAGCCGCGGUAAUACGAAGGGGGCUAGCGUUGUUCGGAUUUACUGGGCGUAAAGCGCACGUAGGCGGACUAUUAAGUCAGGGGUGAAAUCCCGGGGCUCAACCCCGGAACUGCCUUUGAUACUGGUAGUCUUGAGUUCGAGAGAGGUGAGUGGAAUUCCGAGUGUAGAGGUGAAAUUCGUAGAUAUUCGGAGGAACACCAGUGGCGAAGGCGGCUCACUGGCUCGAUACUGACGCUGAGGUGCGAAAGCGUGGGGAGCAAACAGGAUUAGAAACCCGGGUAGUCCCA